Molecule: non-coding RNA, 61 nt
Organism: Caenorhabditis elegans
Lineage: Eukaryota; Metazoa; Nematoda; Chromadorea; Rhabditida; Rhabditidae
Source: Ensembl
CCGAUUGAAAAUUGACCACGCGGUGCGGUCGCGUCGCGGUUUUUAGCCAAAAUUUCAAAAU